Molecule: long non-coding RNA, 415 nt
Filed under: Ficedula albicollis (Collared flycatcher)
Lineage: Eukaryota; Metazoa; Chordata; Aves; Passeriformes; Muscicapidae
Description: lncRNA (ENSFALG00000024787.1)
Source: RNAcentral
GUUUCCAUCACCCUGCAGAGGCGUCUGUGCGCUGUGUGUGCGGGAGAGCGGGAGGAACCGGCCAUAAAUCCCCCAAGGCGCGAUCGCUGCGCUCCCGCCCGGCUGCCAGCGGCAGAGCCGAAGGGCUGACACUCGACAGGCUGUGGAAAAACGCGGGGUGGCAUCACACAGAGACACCAGCCCGCUGAUUGAUCUCCCAGACCCACCUGGGAGCCUGCUUGCCAGAAGGAGAAAUGGCACAAGAGGAAAUACAUCUUCACAGCCUCGAGAGAGGAGAAGGUUGGAAUCUGAGUCCAUAAACAGCGUUGCUGUGCAGUGAGCAAAGACAGAGCAGGUUGGGCUCUGGAGAGUGUAACCCCACCUCUGCUGCUCCCCUGCCAAUUAAAAGUAAAGAAGAGAAGUGGAGCUUGUUUGU